Molecule: small nuclear RNA, 116 nt
Filed under: Medicago truncatula (barrel medic)
Lineage: Eukaryota; Viridiplantae; Streptophyta; Magnoliopsida; Fabales; Fabaceae
Description: sRNA gene30046
Rfam family: U5 spliceosomal RNA
About the family: U5 RNA is a component of both types of known spliceosome.
Source: Rfam by way of RNAcentral
AGCCGAGUGAUGAUCACAUAGCGAACUAUUCUUUCGCCUUUUACUAAAGAAUACCGUGUGAGCGUUGCUAUUAGCGGCAUACACUAGUUUUUGGGAGAGUCCUCUUCACAGAGGGC